UCACUAUAGCAGUUCAUAUUAUAAACUUAGAAGGAUACAGAAAAAAUUAACAAGGCCCUACUGCAAGAAUGAUACACAUAUUUUUGAACCAUUCCUAUUAUUU
Small nuclear RNA from Diceros bicornis minor, 103 nucleotides. NCBI's taxonomy places the organism in Eukaryota, Metazoa, Chordata, Mammalia, Perissodactyla, Rhinocerotidae. The record is from RefSeq and is a predicted model, not a curated record.